Molecule: ribosomal RNA, 392 nt
Filed under: uncultured Methanosaeta sp.
Lineage: Archaea; Methanobacteriati; Methanobacteriota; Methanomicrobia; Methanotrichales; Methanotrichaceae
Description: bacterial SSU rRNA
Rfam family: Archaeal small subunit ribosomal RNA
Source: RNAcentral
UAUGAAGGUCAGGCUGAAGACCUUACCCGAUUAGCUGAGAGGUGGUGCAUGGCCGUCAUCAGUUCGUACUGUGAAGCAUCCUGUUAAGUCAGGCAACGAGCGAGACCCACGUCCACAGUUGCCAGCAUACCCUCCGGGGUGAUGGUACACUGUGGAGACCGCCGCUGCUAAAGCGGAGGAAGGAGUGGGCAACGGUAGGUCAGUAUGCCCCGAAUCUCCCGGGCUACACGCGGGCUACAAUGGUUGGUACAAUGGGCAUCUACCCCGAAAGGGGAAGGAAAUCUCUUAAAGCCAAUCGUAGUUCGGAUUGAGGGCUGCAACUCGCCCUCAUGAAGCUGGAAUCCGUAGUAAUCGCGUUUCAACAGAACGCGGUGAAUACGUCCCUGCUCCUU